RNAcentral lists this ribosomal RNA (180 nucleotides) under uncultured Glomeromycotina. RNAcentral describes it as "partial small subunit ribosomal RNA". The record is from RNAcentral. Lineage: Eukaryota; Fungi; Glomeromycota.
GGGUUCUACCGUUGGUCGGGCUAUAGUCUGUACUGGCGUGUGGAAUUUCUACCUUCUGGGGAACUAUCAUGUUAUUAAUUUAGCGUGGUAGGAAACCAGAACCUUUACCUUGAAAAAAUUAGAGUGUUCAAAGCAGGCGUAACUCGCCUCCGAAUACGUUAGCAUGGGAUAAUGGAAUAC